UGAUGGCGGCGCUGGUUGUGUCCGAGACUCCGGAGCCAGGAAGCCGAGUCGGCUCUGGCAGAGGUCGCAUCUCUCGGGGGCGACUGGCCAAUCAGAUCCCCCUUGAGAUCCUGAACAAUCCCCAGCUACAGGCUGCUGUCCAGGCUCUGCCUUCUAACUACAAUUUUGAGAUCCCUAAGACCAUCUGGAGGAUCCAACAGGCCCAGGCCAAGAAGGUGGCCUUACAAAUGCCAGAAGGCCUCCUACUCUUUGCCUGCACCAUUGUGGAUAUCUUGGAAAGGUUCACAGAGGCUGAGGUGAUGGUGAUGGGUGACGUCACCUAUGGGGCUUGCUGUGUGGACGACUUCACUGCAAGGGCCUUGGGAGUUGACUUCCUGGUGCACUAUGGUCACAGCUGUCUAGUCCCCAUGGACACCUCUGUUCAAGACUUCCGAGUCUUGUAUGUCUUUGUGGAUAUCCGGAUAGACACUGCCCACCUUCUGGACUCGGUCCGCCUCACCUUUACCCCAGGCAGCUCACUCGCUCUGGUCAGCACCAUUCAGUUUGUGUCAACCUUACAGGCAGCUGCACAGGAGCUGAAAGCUGAUUAUCACGUCAGUGUCCCACAGUGCAAGCCCCUGUCCCCUGGGGAGAUCCUAGGCUGCACAUCCCCUCGGCUACCCAAGGAGGUGGAAGCUGUUGUGUAUCUUGGAGAUGGCCGCUUUCAUCUGGAGUCUGUCAUGAUUGCCAACCCUAAUAUACCUGCUUACCGGUACGACCCAUAUAGCAAAGUCCUAUCCAGAGAAUACUAUGACCAUCAGCGCAUGCAGGCCACUCGCCAAGAAGCCAUUGCUGCUGCACGCUCAGCCAAGUCCUGGGGCCUUAUUCUGGGCACUUUGGGCCGCCAGGGCAGUCCCAGGAUCCUGGAGCACUUGGAAUCUCAGCUCAGAGGCUUGGGACUCCCUUUCGUGAGGCUGCUGCUCUCGGAGAUCUUCCCCAGCAAGCUCAGUCUACUUCCUGGGGUGGAUGUGUGGGUGCAGGUGGCAUGUCCACGCCUCUCCAUUGACUGGGGUUCAGCCUUUCCCAAGCCACUGCUGACACCAUAUGAGGCAGCCGUGGCCCUGAAGGACAUUUCUUGGCAGCAACCCUACCCCAUGGAUUUCUAUUCUGGCAGCUCCUUAGGGCCAUGGACAGUGAACCACGGUCGGGACCGAGCACCCCGGGGUCUCUGCCAGCCUGCAUCUGACAAGGUAGCAACUUUAAGCAGGGCAGAGAGGCAGCCUUCAGGCGCAGCCUUGGCGUGACGUGGUCCACGGCCGCCGCCCUGAGGACAGCGGGGGAAAUACAAGGGAGCCGGUGGAGGUCGCAGUGGAGAGACUUGGGUUUGUCGGCUCCCUCAGGUGCCGCAGGGGUCCGGAGGCGGCUCUCCAGCCCCAGCCUGUGAGGGUUGCAGCUGCGCCGACCAGAAGGCUACUUUGCCGGCUCCCUGAGCAGGCCGGAGCAGCAGGUAUUUGCAGCCACGCCCCACCUUUUUGUUUUAGGAGGGCCCCGCCUUCCCGGAGCCCCGCCUUCGGGGUGUGCCCCGCACGGGCCCUGCCUCCUUGCAGGUUCUACUUCCGCUUAGGAAGGCCUGCUUCCGGUCGGCCUGCAGUAUGGCGGCACGGCAGACCUUGCGGGUGCUGUGUCUAGCCGGCUUCCGGCAGAGCGAGCGGGGCUUCCGUGAGAAGACGGGAGCGCUGAGGAAGGCGCUGCGGGGUCGCGCAGAGCUCGUGUGCCUCAGCGGACCACAUCCGGUCUCCGAGGCAGCGGCUCCCGAGGGUGCGGGGCCAGACUCGGGGCCCUGUUCUCCGGAGGAGCAGCCUCGAGGCUGGUGGUUCUCUGAAGAGGAAGCCGAUGUUUUCUCUGCUCUGGAAGAGCCCAAAGUGUGCAGGGGUCUGCAGGAGGCCCUGGAAACGGUGGCACAGGCCCUUGACACGCUGGGGCCCUUUGAUGGACUUCUUGGCUUCAGCCAGGGAGCUGCACUAGCAGCUUGUGUGUGUGCCCUGGGCCAGGCAGGUGAUCCUCGCUUCCCCUUGCCAAGAUUUAUCAUACUUGUGUCGGGGUUCUGUCCCCGAGGCCUUGGCCUUAGGGAACCCAUCUUACAGAACCCCAUGUCACUGCCUUCACUUCAUGUUUUUGGGGAUACUGAUCGAGUCAUCCCUUCUCAGGAGAGUAUGCAAUUGGCUAGCCGGUUCCUUGGAGCCGUCACCCUCACCCACUCUGGUGGUCACUUCAUUCCAGCAGCUGCAUCCCAGCGUCAGGCCUAUCUUAAGUUCUUGGACCAGUUUGCAGAAUGAAGGAUCGACAAAUGUGUCUGCACUGCUCCCACUUUCUCCAGCAGCCCUCCCUGGUGCACUCCUCACCAUGGCUAGUUAAAAGACAACUGUCACUUCUCAGGACACACAUAAGCUCAGAGAGCCUGUGAGAAGACAGUGGUGGGCAAGCAGGGGCUGGCACCCCUGUGACUGACGAACAAUAAAGCGAUGCUUUAGAU
This is an RNA transcript of Mus pahari (shrew mouse), 2512 nucleotides long. It is a transcript of the gene named diphthamide biosynthesis 1, with no coding region annotated. The record is from RefSeq and is a predicted model, not a curated record. NCBI's taxonomy places the organism in Eukaryota, Metazoa, Chordata, Mammalia, Rodentia, Muridae. The transcript has 12 exons.